CUGCCAGUAGUCCUAUGCUUGUCUCAAAGAUUAAGCCAUGCAUGUGUCUGUAUAAGUCUUUUCAAGUCGAAACUGCGAAUGGCUCAUUAAAACAGGUAUAGCUUAUUCGAUGGUCUCUCGUUAUUUGGAUAAUUCUGGUAAUUCUAGAGAUAAUACAUGGUUAAAAACGCGACUUCUCGGAAGGGCUGUAUUUAUUUAUAUAUAGAACCAAACGGGCUGCCGUUUUUGGAUGAUUCAUAAUAAAAGUACGGAGCGCAUGGCUUGUGUCGGCGGUGGUUCAUUCAAGUUUCUGACCUAUCAGCUUUCGACGGUAGGGUAUUGGCCUACCGUGGCAUUGACGGGUAACGGAGAAUUAGGGUUCGAUUCCGGAGAGGGAGCCCGAGAAACGGCUACCACAUCUAAGGAAGGCAGCAGG
This 415-nucleotide ribosomal RNA is filed under the name uncultured alveolate. RNAcentral's name for it is "bacterial SSU rRNA". It matches the Rfam family "Eukaryotic small subunit ribosomal RNA", at positions 14 to 432 of the family's 1831-position model. The record is from RNAcentral.